This 332-nucleotide unclassified non-coding RNA is filed under the name soil metagenome. RNAcentral describes it as "partial contains 5.8S ribosomal RNA, internal transcribed spacer 2, and large subunit ribosomal RNA". The stretch from base 1 to 120 matches the Rfam family "5.8S ribosomal RNA", at positions 35 to 154 of the family's 154-position model. The record is from RNAcentral.
GAUGAAGAACGUAGCGAAAUGCGAUAAGUAAUGUGAAUUGCAGAAUUCAGUGAAUCAUCGAAUCUUUGAACGCACAUUGCGCCCGCCAGUAUUCUGGCGGGCAUGCCUGUCCGAGCGUCAUUUCAACCAUCAAGCCCCGGGCUUGUGUUGGGGACCUGCGUCCGACGCAGGCCCUGAAAACCAGUGGCAGGCUCGCUGUCCACACCGAGCGUAGUAACUAACCUCGCUAUGGAGUGGCGCGGGCGCCUGCCGUAAAACCCCCAAUUUCACAAGGUUGACCUCGGAUCAGGUAGGAAUACCCGCUGAACUUAAGCAUAUCAAUAAGCGGAGGA